UCUUCCCAAAAAAAUGUCCUCUAACUUGUUGUUCUGGUUUUUCCUCCAGCAAAGACCAACUCAUCUUGCCAUGGGCAUUAAGGAUCCCAGGUGAACAGCACAAUACAGCCCCAUGUCAAGGUGUGAUUAACAUCAGCUUCCCACUCCUCAGGACAGACACACUGUGGGGGCCUGAAUACAUGUUGUAUUGUGAGAUCAGUGUGUGUCUAAGUUACUCCAAACGAGCUGCAGCUGCAGGGUCCUUAGUUGGGCAACAGCUGUAGCUCGUGAGGGUAACUGAGAUAAAUAGGGGUGGGUCAAGAGCCCAAGAGGAGCCCCUGAGAAGACAGAAGAAGAGCCCCAGCAGAGAGGGAAGAACAACGCUGCAGCCAAACAGAGAGAGAGAGAAGGUAUGGAAUCCCCCGGACAGCCGAGAGCUGUGACAGCCUGAGAGCUGGGACUUUACGUGUAACAACAACACACAUCUUCACUUCCCAGGGGAGCACCCAAGCUGUUAAUAAGGGCCUGGAGGUGGAAAGCAUCAGGUUCAAAAGCAGAGGGAGCAGCAGUAGCUGUGAGAAGCAGCCUUACAAACUGGAACCAGAGCUGGCAGCAGUGCUGGAGCACUGGGCAUGGAUCAGGCUGGAGAAAAAGAAUUAACAGUUCCAUGCUCAGAAGCCUGGAGAGUGAGAAAGCAGCUGUCACCCGUGGAGGGAGGGGAAAUGCUGAGCUGCCACACAUAAACUCAGCGGGCUGUUUAAAGACGAUGCACACAUCUGAAUGCUCUCACUGCUGCUGUUCCUCUCUGAAUUUGGCCUUGGCACCAUGGCAAGGAUCAGCCCUGCCUGCAGGACAGGAGUGGGAUGGGAUGGGAUGGGAUGGGAUGGGAUGGGAUGGGAUGGGAUGGGAUGGGAUGGGAUG
This 900-nucleotide long non-coding RNA is filed under the name Zonotrichia albicollis (white-throated sparrow). RNAcentral's name for it is "lncRNA (ENSZALG00000009208.1)". Lineage: Eukaryota; Metazoa; Chordata; Aves; Passeriformes; Passerellidae. The record is from RNAcentral.